Molecule: ribosomal RNA, 685 nt
Filed under: Loigolactobacillus coryniformis
Lineage: Bacteria; Bacillati; Bacillota; Bacilli; Lactobacillales; Lactobacillaceae
Description: bacterial SSU rRNA
Rfam family: Bacterial small subunit ribosomal RNA
Source: RNAcentral
GCGGCGUGCCUAAUACAUGCAAGUCGAACGCACUGACGUCGACCGAAGCUGCUUGCAGUGGACGUUGAUUGACGUGAGUGGCGGACGGGUGAGUAACACGUGGGUAACCUACCCUUAAGUGGGGGAUAACAUUUGGAAACAGAUGCUAAUACCGCAUAACCAUUCAGACCACAUGGUCUGAAUGUAAAAGACGGCCUUUGGCUGUCACUUUUGGACGGACCCGCGGCGUAUUAGUUAGUUGGUAAGGUAACGGCUUACCAAGACAAUGAUACGUAGCCGACCUGAGAGGGUAAUCGGCCACAUUGGGACUGAGACACGGCCCAAACUCCUACGGGAGGCAGCAGUAGGGAAUCUUCCACAAUGGACGAAAGUCUGAUGGAGCAACGCCGCGUGAGUGAAGAAGGUUUUAGGAUCGUAAAACUCUGUUGUUGGAGAAGAACAGGGACUAGAGUAACUGUUAGUCCUUUGACGGUAUCCAACCAGAAAGCCACGGCUAACUACGUGCCAGCAGCCGCGGUAAUACGUAGGUGGCAAGCGUUGUCCGGAUUUAUUGGGCGUAAAGCGAGCGCAGGCGGUUUUUUAAGUCUGAUGUGAAAGCCUUCGGCUUAACCGAAGAAGUGCAUUAGAAACUGGGAAACUUGAGUGCAGAAGAGGACAGUGGAACUCCAUGUGUAGCGGUGAAAUG